Long non-coding RNA from Tyto alba (common barn owl), 880 nucleotides. RefSeq lists it as uncharacterized. The transcript has 4 exons. NCBI's taxonomy places the organism in Eukaryota, Metazoa, Chordata, Aves, Strigiformes, Tytonidae. The record is from RefSeq and is a predicted model, not a curated record.
GGGGCCGGGAGCGGCGGCUGCGUGCGGAGUGCCGUUUGUCCCUUAGGCAAGCCCCAGCCCUGAGGGAAGCACCUUGCAUCCAAAAAAAGCAUGAUCUGCAUCCCUCUGUCAGCUGCCCUGGGGUGAUGCCAACGUGCAGACCCUGAGAGGGAGUCAGCUGUGUUGUCGUGAGCUAGCUCUGCCGUGCUGACCAAGGAGGGACCAACAGGGAAAGACACCUCCUGUGCACAGCUGACGUUUGUAUGUGCUGCAUCCUUUGAAUCUUUUCGCCCUGUAGCUUGAAGAGAUCGGAGAUUUAUUCUCACAUAGAGGCCAAAAAAAGUAAAAACUUCAGGAAUUCGGUGGUGCUUGUUUUAUAGUUAAUCUUAGUGUUGGUCCCAUCUUUCCUGACACUGAGAAUUUAACAUGGAGUAAGAUUAUUCCUGCCUGGAAACAUAACAUAAUUUCUCAAUAAACUCCAGCUUCGUAACUGUUGCAAUAUCAAGGACAUCAAGCCUUAGACUUCCCUACAAAGGAAAGUAUGUAUCAGCUUGGACCAGCACUGGAAGAAUUCUUAAGACUGGGCGGAAAGAACCAAUGUUUACUCAAAGCCGCUGAUUUGACACAGGUGCAUUCCCUUUCUAUUUCUGCAUCUCAGAAAGUGUCAAAGUGCUCUGCAGUGUAGAAACAGCAUAAAGUAGUGCUUGACACGUUGGACAUAAACACAUGUCAUGCAGCAGACAUCCUACUGUUACAAAUAACUGUUCCUGCUUCUGCUAGAAGGCACUGAUGUAGUCACAAAAUGUUCAAGAGACCUGAUCCUUUUGCUUUUAACUGUGUAACACUGGAAAUUUUGCCCCUCUGCAAAUUAUGCAUUGGGCCUUAGUAUACUUCUGUUGAA